Molecule: unclassified non-coding RNA, 631 nt
Filed under: Octopus sinensis (East Asian common octopus)
Lineage: Eukaryota; Metazoa; Mollusca; Cephalopoda; Octopoda; Octopodidae
Description: cholecystokinin receptor-like, transcript variant X1
Source: RNAcentral
CACAUGUCCUACUCAGAGUACAAAUCUUUCGGAAAAGGAUCCAUUCUAUAAAUCCAGGAUUAAAAUGAAAACGAACACUACAAAAGAUGAUCAAACACGGAAACAGGUUAUCAAAAUGUUGGUAUUGGUCAUCGUCCUUUUUGUCAUUUGCUGGGCACCAAUCUUGACCAAUAACUUACUGGUCGCUUACGGUUAUCUGCCCUUGUUGAACUUUGGUUACCUAAAACCAAUGCGGGAAGCCUUUUUCUUGAUGGCCUACUCAAACAGUUGUGUCAACCCCGUUGUUUACGGUUUCAUGUCAAGGAACUUCAGAGAAGCCUUCCUCAAUGCACUUUGCUCGUGCCUCAGAGGAAAAGAGUACGUCCGGCGGAAGCGGUUUGAACGACACAAUUCCAGCGUCACGAGGUCAACGCAGAUGGGUUACAUCCGGGACAUUGAAAUGGAGGAGAUGGAAAUUUGCUCAAAAUACGGCGCCACAUACGUCCCAGAGAGUGUAUAACGAGGAGAGGCGACCAACGAAAACUACAACUUUAACGAACUAUAUCUUAAGAUACAUGUGUGCGUGUAUAUGCGUGUGUAUAUAUAUAUGUGUGUGCGUGUGUGUAUGUGUAUGUGUGUGUGUGUAUAUAUA